GUGAGGAAUAUUGGUCAAUGGGCGGGAGCCUGAACCAGCCAAGUCGCGUGAGGGAAGACGGUCCUAAGGAUUGUAAACCUCUUUUGCCGGGGAACAAGAGCGGGGACGUGUCCCCGUGUGAGUGUACCCGGAGAAAAAGCAUCGGCUAACUCCGUGCCAGCAGCCGCGGUAAUACGGAGGAUGCGAGCGUUAUCCGGAUUUAUUGGGUUUAAAGGGUGCGUAGGCGGACUGGAAAGUCAGCGGUAAAAUUGAGAGGCUCAACCUCUUCCCGCCGUUGAAACUGUCGGUCUUGAGUGGGCGAGAAGUAUGCGGAAUGCGUGGUGUAGCGGUGAAAUGCAUAGAUAUCACGCAGAACUCCGAUUGCGAAGGCAGCAUACCGGCGCCCAACUGACGCUGAGGCACGAAAGCGUGGGUAUCAAACAGGA
RNAcentral lists this ribosomal RNA (425 nucleotides) under uncultured bacterium. RNAcentral describes it as "bacterial SSU rRNA". It matches the Rfam family "Bacterial small subunit ribosomal RNA", at positions 354 to 777 of the family's 1533-position model. The record is from RNAcentral.